RNAcentral lists this ribosomal RNA (482 nucleotides) under uncultured soil bacterium. RNAcentral's name for it is "bacterial SSU rRNA". It matches the Rfam family "Bacterial small subunit ribosomal RNA", at positions 26 to 518 of the family's 1533-position model. The record is from RNAcentral.
AGGAUAAACGCUGGCGGCGUGCAUGAGACAUGCAAGUCGAACGGACGAUCAGGGCUUGCUCUGAUCGUUAGUGGCGGACGGCUGAGUAACGCGUAGGUGACCUGCCCCGAAGUGGGGAAUAACUGCCCGAAAGGGUGGCUAAUACCGCAUGUGGUGGUGCCUUCAUCGGCACCAGUAAAGCCGCAAGGCGCUUCGGGAGGGGCCUGCGUCCGAUUAGCUCGUUGGUGGGGUAACGGCUCACCAAGGCGACGAUCGGUAGGUGGUCUGAGAGGACGAUCACCCAGACUGGGACUGAGACACGGCCCAGACUCCUACGGGAGGCAGCAGUCGGGAAUUUUUGCGCAAUGGACGAAAGUACUGACGCAGCAACGCCGCGUGAGGGAUGACGGCCUUCGGUUGUUAACCUCUUUUUGUACUAGGGAAGAUGAUGACGGUACCUAGGCGAAUAACGUCACGGACUAACUACGUGACCGAGACAGCCG